RNAcentral lists this ribosomal RNA (223 nucleotides) under uncultured bacterium. RNAcentral describes it as "partial 16S ribosomal RNA". It matches the Rfam family "Bacterial small subunit ribosomal RNA", at positions 127 to 334 of the family's 1533-position model. The record is from RNAcentral.
CGCCCUUCAGAGGGGGACAACAGUUGGAAACGACUGCUAAUACCGCAUACGAUCCAAUCUCGGCAUCGAGACUGGAUGAAAGGUGGCCUCUAUUUAUAAGCUAUCACUGAAGGAGGGGAUUGCGCCUGAUUAGCUAGUUGGAGGGGUAACGGCCCACCAAGGCGAUGAUCAGUAGCCGGUCUGAGAGGAUGAACGGCCACAUUGGGACUGAGACACGGCCCAG